AUUGAACGCUGGCGGCACGCCUAACACAUGCAAGUCGAGCGGCAGCGAGAGUAGUAGCAAUACUACUUGUCGGCGAGCGGCGGACGGGUGAGGAACACGUAGGAAUCUACCCAGAAGAGGGGGAUAACCAAGGGAAACUUUGGCUAAUACCGCAUAAUCUCGAGAGAGAAAAGCUGCCCGCAAGGGUGGCGCUUUUGGAGGAGCCUGCGUCCGAUUAGCUAGUUGGUAGGGUAAAGGCCUACCAAGGCGAUGAUCGGUAACUGGUCUGAGAGGACGACCAGUCACACUGGGACUGAGACACGGCCCAGACUCCUACGGGAGGCAGCAGUGGGGAAUAUUGGACAAUGGGGGCAACCCUGAUCCAGCGAUGCCGCGUGAGUGAAGAAGGCCUUCGGGUCGUAAAGCUCUUUAGGUUGGGAAGAAGGGUGCGAGGGUAAUAUCCUUGUACUUUGACGGUACCAACAGAAUAAGCACCGGCAAACUCUGUGCCAGCCGCCGCCGUAA
RNAcentral lists this ribosomal RNA (504 nucleotides) under uncultured bacterium. RNAcentral's name for it is "partial 16S ribosomal RNA". It matches the Rfam family "Bacterial small subunit ribosomal RNA", at positions 29 to 523 of the family's 1533-position model. The record is from RNAcentral.